Molecule: non-coding RNA, 50 nt
Organism: Schistosoma curassoni
Lineage: Eukaryota; Metazoa; Platyhelminthes; Trematoda; Strigeidida; Schistosomatidae
Source: Rfam
AUCCAGUUGUGACGAGUCCCAAAUAGAACGAAGUGACGCGCGUCCUGGAU